RNAcentral lists this long non-coding RNA (234 nucleotides) under Marmota monax (woodchuck). The record is from RNAcentral. Lineage: Eukaryota; Metazoa; Chordata; Mammalia; Rodentia; Sciuridae.
UUUCCUCCCCACUCUCCUGCAGGCGGCAGAGGCAGCGGUGGGGAAAAGCGGAUUCCGCCCCGAGCCACACCGAGGAGAGCUUGCGGUCGCGACUUGCCGCCCUAAGCACUCUCCCAAGUCCAGCCCGCUCGGCGAGGACUUCAGUCUCCUGGGCGAACCUUGUCAAGCAAGCUGGGAUCUAUGAGUGGAAAGGUGACCAAGCCCAAAGAGGAGAAAGAUGCUUCUAAGGGUAAG